Molecule: ribosomal RNA, 245 nt
Filed under: uncultured bacterium
Lineage: Bacteria
Description: partial small subunit ribosomal RNA
Rfam family: Bacterial small subunit ribosomal RNA
Source: RNAcentral
AGAAUCAACGCUGGCGGCGUGCCUAACACAUGCAAGUCGAACGAGAAAGUGGAGCAAUCCAUGAGUAAAGUGGCGCACGGGUGAGUAACACGUGACUAACCUACCCUUGAGUGGGGGAUAACCUAGAGAAAUCUGGGCUAAUACCGCAUAAUACCUUCGGGUCAAAGGAGCAAUUCGCUUAAGGAGGGGGUCGCGGCCGAUUAGUUAGUUGGAGGGGUAAUGGCCCACCAAGACUAUGAUCGGUA